GCCGUUUCGUUUAAACAAGACUUGAUUAAAGGAGGACACUCGGUAGCUACACUGUAGCCUUCAAAGGACGCGUCCUACCUAGCAUGCAGCCUUCGAAACGAGACACAGCCUGUGUUAUUAAAAUUUUGUACUCUAUCCUCAAGGUGACAACGCACGUCUCUUUGUUGUUUUUGAUCGCUCACUCAGUCUCGUGGCGAAGGAGAAACUUAACAGUGCCGAAAACUAAAUAUGAACAAAAUAACAAAGCCUAAGCUGGUUAAGAUAAGAAGUGUAAACCUGGCAAAAACAUACUUAAUUGCGGCGAUUACCUUAAAAGAGCUGCUUAAAAAUGGAUGUAAUUUGUUAAAGGUACAAAACAUUUUCGUUAAGUUUAAGUGACGUGAGAGACGACGUAUAGGCCUAAUGUGUUGUGAUCCUGCAGUAAGACACUAGAGUGUGUAUUUUUGUCAAAAGAUAUCCACUCCAGGUGUUCAGAUCUGCUUAUACAAGGAUGGGACAAUAGUAACCGAAGAAUAUUUCCCAAAUCUUCCCGAUAAUAUAGAACUGAGCUGGAUUGGAUGUGAGUAGUGUAUCUCAUUGACGGAAAAUAGGUAUUUGAUUGUGAAACUAUGUCUGGAAGCAGUAAACAAAGAUAGGGUACAACGGGGCUAAAGGCACCCCUUAAGGACAUUUUGACUUUUAUUCUGGUCACAAAAUGUAUCAAGGUAAAAAUAAAAAUCGAUGUAUUUUUUUUAUUAUUGAAAAUUGAUGGAGCCACAUAAUUUGUGUGAAAAGAAAUAACACAAGGUUGUUUCGAUUCAAAUUCAGUAAAGAAUAAAAUAAAUAUACAAGUGGUGAAUGACUUCCCCUUAGGGAGUUUAAAAUGAUAUUGUUUAGAAAUAAGGGCAGUAGUUAUAGUGCAACAUAUUUCCAACUAAUGCAAAUAAUUUUGAGGCACCAAAAUACUUUUUUGAGUAACAAAUUAAAAUGAUGCCAUUGCUUACUCAAAAUAACUACUUUACAACCAUUUCCUGUUAAUUUCAGACACAUUUGCCAUUUUGUUACAUCUCAAGUAUCCUAUAAACAAAGUAAUCUCUAUAAUGUUUGAAUCAGUUACUGUGAGCUCACUUUGAAAAAAUGCCAUAACAAAUAUAUUCACUCCACUGUUUAAUAGGGGCAUUUAGCCUCACAUUUCCUCAGUUAUUGAAACAUUUUUGAUUUAAUGACCUUAAUCAAAACAGAAAAUGAUAAAUACAUUAAAAAAAAAAUAAAAAAAGUAUUUUGUCUCAAAAGACAUGUUAGUUUCAGGGAUUUUCAUUAGCUACAUGCAUUUGCGCCAUUUAAAAAAAAUAAUAACAAUUAGAUCAAAAUUGCAUAAAAAUCAACCUAUAGACACUACAUGCAAAGAUCUUAUGGAACAUUUUUCAGUGUAUAGUGACAAACAGGUGUAUAGGAAAGUGCCGUGUUUGUUUAUGUUGUUAUUUAGUAUUUUGGGAGAAAAUAAAAUCAAUGGAGCCUUUUACCCUAUUGUACCCUAUUAUCAGAAUGAGCUUUAUUGCCAAGUGUUCUCACGUACAGAAGGAUUUUUGAUUUCAUUUUCUUUAGUUUUUCCAUUGUAGUUUCCUUCUGUCUGAUUUGGUGGCUGAACCAAACCAGACAGUUAUAGAUGUGCACAGGACAGACUCUAUGACGGCCAAGUAGAACUGUGUCAGCAGCUUCUGUGGCAGGUUGAACUUCCUCAGCUGCCGAAUAUGAUAUGUGAUUAUGAUAAAAUAGUAACAAUAAACAAUCAACACAAGCUUUUUUUUAUUAUUCUAACUUCAUUUUUACAUAUACCAUUCUGAAAUGUCCACAUGGCACUUCAUUCCCUGCAGUUGCUUAUUAAAUAAAUCAAGUCCUGGGUUUGGACACACACACUGACUCAGAUCAGUGCAGCAAGGAUCUUGCCUCAGAUGAACAGUCUCCCAAAUGGCACAGAAUACUGGGUGAUUUUCUGAGGAAUUUGAAGGACAAUUCAGAAGUGGAGAACAGAGAAGAAGAUAAGGACUGGUUUGAAGGUUGAUGGAUAUACCCAGACUAUUCAGAAUGCAAAGGCAAAAAAUGAAUACAGAAAGGUAGUAGAGAUCCUGGCUGAGAAAUUGAAGUCUGCACGGUACCAUGGUGCCUAUUUUGUCAGGUCAGAGAAUGAGGUUUGCAGACUCUGCACUGAAAAGGGCUGGUUCUCAUGCCAAGUCGCAUGUUACAUUCACUCUCAUAUCUCACAUUUCUAAUUGAAUAUGAAAUCAUAUACUGUAUAGACAAGAUUUUUUCCACUUUUCAAGUAAAAUAAACAAUGAAGCUAAAAUAUACAAGUAGUAGUACUUUUUAAAACUUAAAAGCAUUUAGCAUUCUUGCUGGGCUAUAUGUUUAGAUGUCAGCAUUUGUUUUUGUCCCAGUGGUAAAUUUAUUUUAUUGUAUAAGCUAUAAAUAACUUUUGCUCCCACAUGGUGCCAAAUUGAUAAGAACGAGUGCGCAUUUCUCCCCUCAAACCUGUAUGGGAACUGCAAGAGCAGAAUCCUCUUCAGCACCUGGAAUCUAGACCACCUGAUAGAAAAUAGGAGAACUGUCAUUCCAACUCUCGCAGAGGCACUGAAGGGUAAAAAAAUCUGGAUUAUUUCUACAAACUGCUGUUUACACAAGAGAAUCUCAAACUGGUUCACAUAGUUUGCCAUAAGGGGCCCAUGAGCUCA
Molecule: long non-coding RNA, 2708 nt
Organism: Xyrauchen texanus (razorback sucker)
Lineage: Eukaryota; Metazoa; Chordata; Actinopteri; Cypriniformes; Catostomidae
Exons: 3
Source: RefSeq, a predicted model, not a curated record